Molecule: ribosomal RNA, 253 nt
Filed under: uncultured bacterium
Lineage: Bacteria
Description: partial 16S ribosomal RNA
Rfam family: Bacterial small subunit ribosomal RNA
Source: RNAcentral
UACGGAGGAUCCAAGCGUUAUCCGGAUUUAUUGGGUUUAAAGGGUGCGUAGGCGGAUUGAUAAGUUAGAGGUGAAAUGUCCGAGCUCAACUCGGGAACUGCCUCUAAUACUGUUGAUCUAGAGAGUAGAUGCGGCAGGCGGAAUGUAUGGUGUAGCGGUGAAAUGCUUAGAGAUCAUACAGAACACCGAUUGCGAAGGCAGCUUACCAAUCUAUAUCUGACGUUGAGGCACGAAAGCGUGGGGAGCAAACAGG